Molecule: long non-coding RNA, 724 nt
Filed under: Equus caballus (horse)
Lineage: Eukaryota; Metazoa; Chordata; Mammalia; Perissodactyla; Equidae
Description: lncRNA (ENSECAG00000030503.2)
Source: RNAcentral
CUUGGAUAUAUGAGGGAAUGGGGCGGGGAAAUGAGGAUAGAGGGCCAGGGCAGUUCAAAGAGAGUCCCACAGGCUGUGGUCAGAAAAUUUCAUCUUAUCCCACAAGCUGUGAGGAACCAGGGAAGAUGUUAAGCUUCGGAGUAUUAAAGUCAGAGUAAUAAACAUGGAAAGAAGCAAGAAGAGAAGGGUGUGCUGUGUUUUGAAAGGCCAGGUUGCAGUGUGGAAGAAGGCCUGGGGAGAGAGCCUCUGAGGUCUCUGGCCUGUGUUGGCUGGGGGGGUUGCAAGAAAAGGAAUUAAAGUGUGGAAAAGGACCAGCAAGCAACACAUUAUGUUAAAAGGUUGGUGGAUGAUGACGCAUUCAAGCAAUUAACAUGAGAGAGGAAACGGCUUGGCAGGGAAGAUAAAUUCAGUUUGGGACUUACUGGGGUUGAGAAAGUUUGGGAGAUCCACGUGGAUAUGUUGGUAGAUGCUUGAAAAUACAGUGGAUGCUGCUAAAGGAAGGUAUGAGGCUUAGAGCUCUGGCUACCACUGUGACUGUGAGUGGGCACUGAUGCUGAUCCACUGAGCAGCAAAGCGUGGAAAGAUAGAAAGAACCUGGAUCAUUGUGACAUCACUGAGCUGUUGCAACCAUCCUGUACCACCAGACCUCUUGUUACCUACAAUAAUUAAAUGUCAUUAUUGUUUAAGCUAUUGUCAUUAGAGCAUUGUAUUACCUGAAAUAAAA